Molecule: long non-coding RNA, 229 nt
Filed under: Elaeis guineensis (African oil palm)
Lineage: Eukaryota; Viridiplantae; Streptophyta; Magnoliopsida; Arecales; Arecaceae
Description: long non-coding RNA (EGUI_LNC034948)
Source: RNAcentral
CUGUAUAAUCAUUGUGAAUUCUGUUAUAUAAUGAAGCAAUGUAAGCACCAGAAGAACAUAGUUUAAAGAAUUUUCGAGAUAGUUUAAAAAACUAAAUAAAUCUAACAAAAUUUUAUAGUAAAAGAAUUAUAAAAGAUUUAUAAAAUAAUAAAAAAUAAAAUUGAUCAAAUCCGGAAGUGUGUUGGACACUGUCCUAAGAUAUAUUUUCAUUCUUUUUUUAUGAAUUGGG